GGGAAUCUACCGUGCCCUGCGGAAUAGCUCCGGGAAACUGGAAUUAAUACCGCAUACGCCCUACGGGGGAAAGAUUUAUCGGGGUAUGAUGAGCCCGCGUUGGAUUAGCUAGUUGGUGGGGUAAAGGCCUACCAAGGCGACGAUCCAUAGCUGGUCUGAGAGGAUGAUCAGCCACAUUGGGACUGAGACACGGCCCAAACUCCUACGGGAGGCAGCAGUGGGGAAUAUUGGACAAUGGGCGCAAGCCUGAUCCAGCCAUGCCGCGUGAGUGAUGAAGGCCUUAGGGUUGUAAAGCUCUUUCACCGGAGAAGAUAAUGACGGUAUCCGGAGAAGAAGCCCCGGCUAACUUCGUGCCAGCAGCCGCGGUAAUACGAAGGGGGCCAGCGUUGUUCGGAAUUACUGGGCGUAAAGCGCACGUAGGCGGAUAUUUAAGUCAGGGGUGAAAUCCCAGAGCUCAACUCUGGAACUGCCUUUGAUACUGGGUAUCUUGAGUAUGGAAGAGGUAAGUGGAAUUCCGAGU
RNAcentral lists this ribosomal RNA (520 nucleotides) under uncultured bacterium. RNAcentral's name for it is "bacterial SSU rRNA". It matches the Rfam family "Bacterial small subunit ribosomal RNA", at positions 120 to 674 of the family's 1533-position model. The record is from RNAcentral.